GCUUGUCUGAAAUAAUACUGACUCUGUAUUAACACCUUUUAACUUUACACCUUUAUCUGUCAGAAUGUGCCAGUAUCCUGGAGCGUCAACUCUGCAACAGCAACCACAAUCAAGGAGAGGCCAAAAUCCCCUUUUUCAACUCCACAACAGCCUGUCCAAAGAGUGACAAACUCAAAAGCAGUCCAGCAGCUGCAGGAGUCCUGCACUGGUUUGCAGGUCAAUGGAUCGGGCAGGGAGGUUUCAAGAACUCCUCUGGCCACAGCGGUGCAGCCUAAAGAGAAGGACAGGAAGGAUCGAACACCAUCACAGAGUGUCCCCGAUUCAACAAAUUCUGCAGCAGCAGAGGCCACAACUAAGAAGGAUCCCAAAUCAGUGUGUGAGACUGCGCAGUCUGAUUCCUCCACUGGACUGAAGGUGAAGGAACUGGCCCAGAUGUUUUCAGCUGCCACAACCCAGGAAUCAGCAGUCCGACCAAAGAAGAAACGCAGAGGGGAACAGAAUCUAUCACAGGUACAAGACCCUGUGUAAAUCUUAUUCUUCACUUCACUGACUGUCUGCUAAGCUGUUUAUA
Epinephelus lanceolatus (giant grouper) is the source of this 571-nucleotide non-coding RNA. The record is from RefSeq and is a predicted model, not a curated record. Lineage: Eukaryota; Metazoa; Chordata; Actinopteri; Perciformes; Serranidae.